Molecule: small nucleolar RNA, 114 nt
Filed under: Sorghum bicolor (sorghum)
Lineage: Eukaryota; Viridiplantae; Streptophyta; Magnoliopsida; Poales; Poaceae
Description: snoRNA snoZ278
Rfam family: Small nucleolar RNA Z278
About the family: snoZ278 is a C/D box small nucleolar RNA. Its methylation guide targets have not been reported.
Source: Rfam by way of RNAcentral
GCUUAUGGUAAUUGCCUAAUGUGUGAGGUGUAGAAAGCUCCAAGUCCCUGCUUGCCAGGGAGAACCUAGUUGGAGUCCUACAUUCAAAUGAAAUUUAUGGGCGUUUUCUGAGGA